This 465-nucleotide ribosomal RNA is filed under the name uncultured bacterium. RNAcentral's name for it is "partial 16S ribosomal RNA". It matches the Rfam family "Bacterial small subunit ribosomal RNA", at positions 338 to 795 of the family's 1533-position model. The record is from RNAcentral.
CCUACGGGGGGCAGCAGUGGGGAAUAUUGCGCAAUGGGCGAAAGCCUGACGCAGCGACGCCGCGUGAGGGAUGAAGGUCUUCGGAUCGUAAACCUCUGUCAGCAGGGAAGAACGGUCACUGUGCUAAUCAGCAGUGAAUUGACGGUACCUGCAAAGGAAGCACCGGCUAACUCCGUGCCAGCAGCCGCGGUAAUACGGAGGGUGCGAGCGUUAAUCGGAAUUACUGGGCGUAAAGCGCUCGUAGGCGGUAUGUCAAGUCAAGGGUGAAAGCCCCGCGCUCAACGUGGGAACUGCCUUUGAAACUGGCAAACUGGAGUGUGUGAGGGGAUAGUGGAAUUCCAGGUGUAGGAGUGAAAUCCGUAGAUAUCUGGAGGAACAUCAGUGGCGAAGGCGACUAUCUGGCACAUAACUGACGCUGAGGAGCGAAAGCGUGGGUAGCAAACAGGAUUAGAUACCCGGGUAGUC